AUUGGGUAGGGGAGCGUUCUGUAAGCCGUUGAAGGUGUGUUGUAAAGCAUGCUGGAGGUAUCAGAAGUGCGAAUGCUGACAUGAGUAACGACAAGGGGGGUGAAAAACCUCCCCGCCGGAAGACCAAGGGUUCCUGUCCAACGUUAAUCGGGGCAGGGUGAGUCGACCCCUAAGGCGAGGCCGAAAGGCGUAGUCGAUGGGAAACGGGUUAAUAUUCCCGUACUCGAUCAAAUUGCGAUGGGGGGACGGAGAAGGCUAGGUGGGCCUGGCGACGGUUGUCCAGGUUCAAGUGCGUAGGCUGAGUGUUUAGGUAAAUCCGGACACUCGAUAGGCUGAGACACGACGUCGAGCUGCUACGGCAGUGAAGUCAUUGAUGCCAUGCUUCCAGGAAAAGCCUCUAAGCUUCAGAUUUGAUGGAAUCGUACCCCAAACCGACACAGGUGGUCGGGUAGAGAAUACCAAGGCGCUUGAGAGAACUCGGGUGAAGGAACUAGGCAAAAUGGUACCGUAACUUCGGGAGAAGGUACGCUCUUGAUGGUGAAGUCCCUCGCGGAUGGAGCUGACGAGAGUCGCAGAUACCAGGUGGCUGCAACUGUUUAUUAAAAACACAGCACUGUGCAAAAUCG
RNAcentral lists this ribosomal RNA (626 nucleotides) under Vibrio navarrensis. RNAcentral describes it as "bacterial LSU rRNA". It matches the Rfam family "Bacterial large subunit ribosomal RNA", at positions 1223 to 1833 of the family's 2925-position model. Lineage: Bacteria; Pseudomonadati; Pseudomonadota; Gammaproteobacteria; Vibrionales; Vibrionaceae. The record is from RNAcentral.